This 892-nucleotide long non-coding RNA is filed under the name Homo sapiens (human). RNAcentral's name for it is "non-protein coding lnc-FMNL2-1:2". Lineage: Eukaryota; Metazoa; Chordata; Mammalia; Primates; Hominidae. The record is from RNAcentral.
CGCGGCAGGGGGCGCGGUUACCCGUGGUUUUUCGCGUUGGACGACGGGCUCUGAGGGCCAAGUUCUUGUCACGAAUUUAGUUUGUUUCAGAGCGGCAGGACUCGUAGCUAGAGAACGAGGACCCACGACGCGUACGCGUUACAGUCCUGUUUCCCUAGAAACGGAGCUGCCGGCGCGGAGGUGGCUUUGAGAUUCUGCGAAAGACCUGACUGCUCUUCAACAAUUAUUGUGUUGCACCCUCCCAGGCGCCCAGUCCAAACCCCGUCAGAAUAACCACCCGGGACAGCGGUGGUCGAAGUAACUACGCCUAACUUUUCGCUUUCCAUCGUGUCCCCUCCAUAAAAACACUGCUGGGCCCCCGGAAUCCAAAGGCGAAGGAGGCACACUCCCUGCCUUAGACUUGUUGAGAGUUUUAUAGGGGCAGUGCAUAACGUACAUGAUGGUGUAUGACGAUUCGGAUGGUAGUACGAGUCAUAAACUCAAAUUCCAACAGCAUCCAGCCAGGACUUUUAAAAUUCCUUGCAACGCAAGUCUACUGGUGACAAAUUCCCUCAAAUUUUGUUUGCCUGAGAAAGUCUUUCGCCCUCACUGUUGAAGGAUAAUUUCACUGGAUACAGAAUUCUAGAUGGAGUCUUACUCUGUCGGCUCACUGCAACCUCCACCUCCGGAGUUAAAUUGAUUCUCCUGCCUCAGCCUCCCGAGUAGUUGGGAUUACAGGUGACUGACACCAUGCCUGGCUAAUCUUUGUAUUUUUAGUAGAGACAGAGUUUUGCCAUAUUGGCCAGGCUGGUCUUGAAUUGCUGACCUUGGGAUCUCCCCGCCUCGGCCUCCCAAAGUGCCAGGAUUACAGGCCUGAGCCACUGCACCCAGCCAAUAUUUUAUUUUUUCUUGC